GAUGAACGCUAGCUACAGGCUUAACACAUGCAAGUCGAGGGGCAGCAUGAACUUAGCUUGCUAAGUUUGAUGGCGACCGGCGCACGGGUGAGUAACACGUAUCCAACCUGCCGAUGACUCGGGGAUAGCCUUUCGAAAGAAAGAUUAAUACCCGAUGGCAUAGUUCUUCCGCAUGGUAGAACUAUUAAAGAAUUUCGGUCAUCGAUGGGGAUGCGUUCCAUUAGGUUGUUGGCGGGGUAACGGCCCACCAAGCCUUCGAUGGAUAGGGGUUCUGAGAGGAAGGUCCCCCACAUUGGACCUGAGACACGGUCCAAACUCCUACGGGAGGCAGCAGUGAGGGAUAUUGGUCAAUGGACGAGAGUCUGAACCAGCCAAGUAGCGUGAAGGAUGACUGCCCUAUGGGUUGUAAACUUCUUUUAUACGGGAAUAAAGUGAGGCACGUGUGCCUUUUUGUAUGUACCGUAUGAAUAAGGAUCGGCUAACUCCGUG
This 489-nucleotide ribosomal RNA is filed under the name uncultured bacterium. Its description in RNAcentral is "partial 16S ribosomal RNA". It matches the Rfam family "Bacterial small subunit ribosomal RNA", at positions 28 to 507 of the family's 1533-position model. The record is from RNAcentral.